GAGACAGUUCGGUCCCUAUCUGCCGUGGACGUUUGAGAUUUGAGAGGGGCUGCUCCUAGUACGAGAGGACCGGAGUGGACGAACCUCUGGUGUUCCGGUUGUCACGCCAGUGGCAUUGCCGGGUAGCUAUGUUCGGAAAAGAUAACCGCUGAAAGCAUCUAAGCGGGAAACUUGCCUCAAGAUGAGAUCUCACUGGGAACUUGAUUCCCCUGAAGGGCCGUCGAAGACUACGACGUUGAUAGGCUGGGUGUGUAAGCGUUGUGAGGCGUUGAGCUAACCAGUACUAAUUGCCCGUGAGGCUUGACCAU
Molecule: ribosomal RNA, 308 nt
Filed under: Pseudomonas aeruginosa
Lineage: Bacteria; Pseudomonadati; Pseudomonadota; Gammaproteobacteria; Pseudomonadales; Pseudomonadaceae
Description: partial 23S ribosomal RNA
Rfam family: Bacterial large subunit ribosomal RNA
Source: RNAcentral